AGAGUUUGAUCCUGGCUCAGGACGAACGCUGGCGGCGUGCUUAACACAUGCAAGUCGAACGGAAAGGCCCUUCGGGGUACUCGAGUGGCGAACGGGUGAGUAACACGUGGGUGAUCUGCCCUGCACUUUGGGAUAAGCCUGGGAAACUGGGUCUAAUACCGAAUAGGACCACGCGCUUCAUGGUGUGUGGUGGAAAGCUUUUGCGGUGUGGGAUGGGCCCGCGGCCUAUCAGCUUGUUGGUGGGGUAAUGGCCUACCAAGGCGACGACGGGUAGCCGGCCUGAGAGGGUGACCGGCCACACUGGGACUGAGAUACGGCCCAGACUCCUACGGGAGGCAGCAGUGGGGAAUAUUGCACAAUGGGCGCAAGCCUGAUGCAGCGACGCCGCGUGAGGGAUGACGGCCUUCGGGUUGUAAACCUCUUUCAAUAGGGACGAAGCGCAAGUGACGGUACCUAUAGAAGAAGCACCGGCCAACUACGUGCCAGCAGCCGCGGUAAUACGUAGGGUGCGAGCGUUGUCCGGAAUUACUGGGCGUAAAGAGCUCGUAGGUGGUUUGUCGCGUUGUUCGUGAAAACUCACAGCUUAACUGUGGGCGUGCGGGCGAUACGGGCAGACUAGAGUACUGCAGGGGAGACUGGAAUUCCUGGUGUAGCGGUGGAAUGCGCAGAUAUCAGGAGGAACACCGGUGGCGAAGGCGGGUCUCUGGGCAGUAACUGACGCUGAGGAGCGAGAGCGUGGGGAGCGAACAGGAUUAGAUACCCUGGUAGUCC
Molecule: ribosomal RNA, 771 nt
Filed under: uncultured bacterium
Lineage: Bacteria
Description: bacterial SSU rRNA
Rfam family: Bacterial small subunit ribosomal RNA
Source: RNAcentral